RNAcentral lists this ribosomal RNA (315 nucleotides) under uncultured bacterium. RNAcentral describes it as "bacterial SSU rRNA". It matches the Rfam family "Bacterial small subunit ribosomal RNA", at positions 28 to 334 of the family's 1533-position model. The record is from RNAcentral.
GAUAAACGCUGGCGGCGCACAUAAGACAUGCAAGUCGAACGAACUUAACCAUUAGUUUACUAUUGGAGCGGUUAGUGGCGGACUGGUGAGUAACACGUAAGCAACCUGCCUGUUAGAGGGGAACAACAGUUAGAAAUGACUGCUAAUACCGCAUAUGCCAUAUUGAGGACAUCCUCAAAGUGGGAAAGGAGAAAUCCGCUAACAGAUGGGCUUGCGUCUGAUUAGCUAGUUGGUGUGGUAACGGCAUACCAAGGCAACGAUCAGUAGCCGGACUGAGAGGUUGAACGGCCACAUUGGGACUGAGAUACGGCCCAG